AACUACUAGACAACGGGGCUUUACGUUUAUGACAGAAAAGGUAAUGGAUUGUGGUCUGGUCAAUAAACCUUGAAGAACCGCUUGGAACUGCCAAGACAGAGUAAGAAGUAGGUAAAAGGCAAUUCCUACAGGGGGAGAUUGCGACCACCGACUCAUUGACCACCUACUCAAAAGAAGACAAUGAAGGAAGAAGACAGAGUCUGCGCACUAAUUUACAUGAGGGGCGAAGAAGAAAGAGCCAAUCAUUAAGGAAAGUAACAAUGAAUAUGUAUUAGUUAAGUGUAUAAAUGUGAGAAUUUUUGAGAUGAGGGUGUGCUGUCUUGAGACAGGCACCCAUUCAUGCGCAUCAAUGAAAUUAAUUUGAAAAUACCUCAAGUCUGUGUGUUAUUGGCUUGCACACCGGGUAAACGAACCCCGUUUGUGGGAAAACACUAGGACUGUGUAGUGACUGUAACCAGGAGAACAAAGGAUGGAUUAAGCAAAGUGCGGAGUGGAUGUUUUGCCCAUUGAUAUUUUUAAGAGGUUUUUUGGUUUUUUUUUUUUUAAAUUACCAGGUUGUUUGUAUACUGUAUACCUCAUCACAGGUUAAUAUUUUUGUAUUUGAUUUCAUACCCUGCAGAUGCACAUUCCAUUGCAGUGUUUGCUAUAGUUACUGAAAGAACAAGUUGGAACAGCUCAUCAGUGAAAACUAAUUUUUAUGCUGCUUCUUCAGUGACUUGCUAAUUAAGGGUUUGUGAGAGUAUACAGUAAUAUUAAAACUCUGAAUGUGCUUGGGAAUUUACUCAUGGCAAGUGAAUACGAUGGCUUAUAGAUCCCAGGAAAAUAUAUGUAAUGGUAAUUUAGUCAGCCAAGAGAAGGAGGAGAUGGUUCAAGUUUCCCUGUCCUUUUCCAAGGAGCAACACAUCUGCCCAACAGGGCAGGACCAGACCUAGAGGAUUCUUGCAAAUUAGGAACAGCAUUCACAAUGAAGACAGACACUUCUGGAAAAGUGCGAGAGGUGCGUCUACAUUGCCAUAAGCCUCAAGGGAGAACUAAGCCCACGUUUCCCAGGUAUCUAUUACCAUCACUUCUCAGGCAGCUACUUCUUGAAAAAGAGCUUAACUAGACACCUACCUUCCCCACAGGUAUUUAUGUCUUGGGAUCACCUGUUUCUUCUGAAUUCUGUCCCCAUUACUGGUAGGAUUGAGGAAAACACUACUUGUGCUCCUGAAUCUUUUAGUAUCCUUCAAAGGGCCCUGAAAUCUCUUUUGAUCAGUCUUGGACUUUGUGUUGUGACAUCAUUAGUACCCAUGUGAAAGAGCAGGAGUGUGUAAUAGUCGAAAGGCUGUACUAAGCUCGUCAGUCAUCUGGUGACAUCCCUGAUUCAGGCCCCAGGGAAGCAGCAAACUUCCCUGAAAAGAGGGUCUAGUCUUCAAAUGGGUGCCUCUGUUCCACUCAGGAGGGAAUCACCUGUAAACAUAACUCGAUGUUGUUUCUUCUUGGCGCUGGUCUUAAUGCAGCUCUUGAUGUGAGGGGAUUGGUUGAUCUGACCUUGGUGGGAGUACUUGCACAGAUUCCUCCUCUUCUGUCUCAUCAAGUCCUUCAUCUACCAUACCCAGAGCCUCAUACCUCUUCUGUAAAGGUUAAAUGACUUAACUGUUAUCUCAUCAGAGACUACUUUGAUGAUGAAUCACAAUUCUCUAAUAGCAGCAUCCUGUCUGGUCUUAGGGGAGUGCUUACCAAAUGUCCUACUCUGUAUAUAUAUGAUCAUUAGAGUUUGCUGGACAUUUUCCAUGGGAGUACUUCAAUGAAAAAAAGUACUUCUCUGUAUAAUUAAUUGCAUUUAGCAGAAGCAGCCCUAACACUUCACAGUUUGAAAGCAAUAGCAGUUCAUGCUGUGGGUGUGCUUUGAGCCCUAUAAGAAUCAAGAGUCAAAGCUUAGGUAUUGCUGAAAUUUUAGUAACAACGGGCUAAUAACUGGCUGAUACCGCAGUUUAGACAGCACAACUGGAUUCUUUUUAAAGUGGAUGAUCAAGUGAGCUACCCUCAAUGCAAUCAUGUUUUAAUUACAAAGACUGAGGGCUGAUACCCCAGAGAUGUUGGACUUUUUGCUCAUUCAGUCAAAAAAAAGGGUGAGUAAAAGACCCUCAGGCAGCUUUUUCUUCUGACUCUAGUACAGGUGGGGUAUGGUGCUCCUUUACUGCUUUUCCCCGCUCGUGUACUAACCUUUCUGCCUUCUUUUCUCAGUGCUGUAAGUCUUCUCAUAAAGGACAGACAUUCCUCAAGGGGUCACUGAAUGUUGCACCUCUUAGGGAUUUUUAAAGAAAUGGGAGAGGGAGCAGAAGUAUUCAAAGUGGAUUGCACAUUUAGAUCUAGCAGGCCAGUUGUCUUGGUGCACUUUGUCUAUCGUCUUUCCACACUAUCUGUUCACUUUCAGAGGUGGCCACAGUGAAAUCCUGCUUCUCAGUUAUGGUUCAGCUUGAUUUGGUAACUGGAAGUUAAUAUUUAUUGCAAUGCUUCACAUAUCUGGUUCUGUAUUACAUAUGGUCCUUAAGGUUUAUUCACAUUAAGGGUGCCAUCAUUCUUCCUCCUGGGGUAAUAGAAUGGGAUCACUCUCUCUAGUGAAAGUUUCCUUCAUAUAAUCUUCCAUUACAGAGCCUUUGCAUCUUAUCAGAGGAUCUCCUCAGUUUUCCCUAAAAAAGUAUUUGAAGUUUUGCAAUUUUGUGACAGUAGACACGGUCUCCUUUGGGGGAAUUGUAUACAUGAACCUUGCUGAUUAUUCUUAUCUCAUGGCCCAAAUUAAUAGCCAUUGAUGCUCACUUUGUUGUUUGCCAGCUCAUAAAAUCUCACUGACAAGAGCAUAUUACUCUGGCCUCAGUCAUUUUACACUAUGCCACAACAGAUGCUAUUGUGUCUCAAAACUUCUAUGGUUCACCUGAAACUUCCCACUACCCAGAAAAAAAUGCUCUGGUGGUACUGGCGUUGUAGGUUUUGAGACUCUCAGGAACCUCAAAAACUACUGAGUUGUUCUUUGCCAUUUAUUUGAGGGAUCUGCCAUUUGAGGAGUUCAGAUCAGAAUAUUAAUUCACAUUCUCUGGCCUCCCUUAUGUCAUGAAUUUCCAAUAUUUGAAAAGAUGCCUAUAGCUAUCAGCAAACAGCCAUUAGGGAGUAUUUUUAGCGAUCAACAUGUGUCUUAAAAGAUACUGUGACAACAUAGUUCAUCCCUUCAUACAAAGCACCUUUGGGUUUCAUUCCAGUUAUUGAGGGCUGGCCUGCUUGCCACCCAAGAGAAUUUUUCUUAUAGGAUGGGUAAGAUUUCUGCAAUCUGAUAAGGAACGCUUUUGUACAUCUGGUCAACUAGAUGACACUUGAUCCUGCUACCAUGUUUUUCCCCCACCCUCCUGCCUGAUAUUUCAUCUUUAACUCAAGGUUCAAUAGCUAAUGGUAGAUAAUUUAGCAAAUGAUCAGUUGAGAAUAGGUCCAAUUCAGCAGUUAGUUAUGAAUAUACCAAAAAGUAUUUUUUUGGAUAUUCAGUCUUAUUUUUUAUUAGCUUAACAGGUUUAAGCUGCAAACAAUAUAAGAAAAAAACCCCCUCAACAACAAAAAAGCAAUGCCUUAAGACUUAAAUUCAUCUCACCUUAUUAAUUUAAAAUUCAUAUGUGAUU
Harpia harpyja (harpy eagle) is the source of this 3644-nucleotide long non-coding RNA. RefSeq lists it as uncharacterized. Lineage: Eukaryota; Metazoa; Chordata; Aves; Accipitriformes; Accipitridae. The record is from RefSeq and is a predicted model, not a curated record. The transcript has 3 exons.